Molecule: ribosomal RNA, 1343 nt
Filed under: Vibrio sp. 10N.286.45.A3
Lineage: Bacteria; Pseudomonadati; Pseudomonadota; Gammaproteobacteria; Vibrionales; Vibrionaceae
Description: bacterial SSU rRNA
Rfam family: Bacterial small subunit ribosomal RNA
Source: RNAcentral
CCUCUCGCGUCAAGAUAUGCCUAGGUGGGAUUAGCUAGUUGGUGAGGUAAUGGCUCACCAAGGCGACGAUCCCUAGCUGGUCUGAGAGGAUGAUCAGCCACACUGGAACUGAGACACGGUCCAGACUCCUACGGGAGGCAGCAGUGGGGAAUAUUGCACAAUGGGCGAAAGCCUGAUGCAGCCAUGCCGCGUGUAUGAAGAAGGCCUUCGGGUUGUAAAGUACUUUCAGUUGUGAGGAAGGGGGUAGUGUUAAUAGCGCUAUCUCUUGACGUUAGCAACAGAAGAAGCACCGGCUAACUCCGUGCCAGCAGCCGCGGUAAUACGGAGGGUGCGAGCGUUAAUCGGAAUUACUGGGCGUAAAGCGCAUGCAGGUGGUUCAUUAAGUCAGAUGUGAAAGCCCGGGGCUCAACCUCGGAACUGCAUUUGAAACUGGUGAGCUAGAGUACUGUAGAGGGGGGUAGAAUUUCAGGUGUAGCGGUGAAAUGCGUAGAGAUCUGAAGGAAUACCAGUGGCGAAGGCGGCCCCCUGGACAGAUACUGACACUCAGAUGCGAAAGCGUGGGGAGCAAACAGGAUUAGAUACCCUGGUAGUCCACGCCGUAAACGAUGUCUACUUGGAGGUUGUGGCCUUGAGCCGUGGCUUUCGGAGCUAACGCGUUAAGUAGACCGCCUGGGGAGUACGGUCGCAAGAUUAAAACUCAAAUGAAUUGACGGGGGCCCGCACAAGCGGUGGAGCAUGUGGUUUAAUUCGAUGCAACGCGAAGAACCUUACCUACUCUUGACAUCCAGAGAAGCCAGCGGAGACGCAGGUGUGCCUUCGGGAGCUCUGAGACAGGUGCUGCAUGGCUGUCGUCAGCUCGUGUUGUGAAAUGUUGGGUUAAGUCCCGCAACGAGCGCAACCCUUAUCCUUGUUUGCCAGCGAGUAAUGUCGGGAACUCCAGGGAGACUGCCGGUGAUAAACCGGAGGAAGGUGGGGACGACGUCAAGUCAUCAUGGCCCUUACGAGUAGGGCUACACACGUGCUACAAUGGCGCAUACAGAGGGCAGCAAGCUAGCGAUAGUGAGCGAAUCCCAAAAAGUGCGUCGUAGUCCGGAUUGGAGUCUGCAACUCGACUCCAUGAAGUCGGAAUCGCUAGUAAUCGUAGAUCAGAAUGCUACGGUGAAUACGUUCCCGGGCCUUGUACACACCGCCCGUCACACCAUGGGAGUGGGCUGCAAAAGAAGUGGGUAGUUUAACCUUUCGGGGAGGACGCUCACCACUUUGUGGUUCAUGACUGGGGUGAAGUCGUAACAAGGUAGCCCUAGGGGAACCUGGGGCUGGAUCACCUCCUUAUACGAAGAUAC